RNAcentral lists this ribosomal RNA (1492 nucleotides) under uncultured bacterium. Its description in RNAcentral is "bacterial SSU rRNA". It matches the Rfam family "Bacterial small subunit ribosomal RNA". The record is from RNAcentral.
GACUAACGCUGGCGGCGUGCUUAACACAUGCAAGUCUAACGAGAAAGCGGUAGCAAUAUCGUGAGUAAAGUGGCGAACGGGUGAGUAACACGUAACCAAUCUGCCUUGAAGAGGAGGAAAACUGAGGGAAACUUUAGCUAAUCCUCCAUAAUGUGGUGCCUAUCGCAUGAGAACAUCAUUAAAGAUUUACUCGCUUCGGGAAGAGGUUGCGUCUGAUUAGCUAGUUGGCGGGGUAAAGGCCCACCAAGGCGACGAUCAGUAGCUGGUCUGAGAGGAUGAUCAGCCACACUGGGACUGAGAUACGGCCCAGACUCCUACGGGAGGCAGCAGUGAGGAAUAUUGCGCAAUGGGCGAAAGCCUGACGCAGCAACGCCGCGUGUAGGAUGAAGUCUUUCGGGACGUAAACUACUGUUAGAGGGGAAGAAACUCCGGUUACGCCGGGGGUGACGGUACCCUCAGAGAAAGCCACGGCUAACUCUGUGCCAGCAGCCGCGGUAAUACAGGGGUGGCAAGCGUUGUCCGGAAUUACUGGGUGUAAAGGGUUCGUAGGCGGGAUGAUAAGUCAGCGGUCAAAUCCGACAGCCUAACUGUCGACUAUCCGUUGAUACUGUUGUUCUUGAGUACAAGAGAGAUGAGUGGAAUUCCCAGUGUAGCGGUGAAAUGCGUANAGAUUGGGAAGAACACCAGUAGCGAAGGCGGCUCAUUAGCUUGNUACUGACGCUGAGGAACGAAAAGCAUGGGGAGCAAACAGGAUUAGAUACCCCUGGUAGUCCAUGCCCUAACGAUGAGGACUGGUAGUCCAUGCCCUAANCGAUGAGGNNUAGGUAUUGGCUCGCAAGAGUCGGUGCCGCAGCUAACGCAUUAAGUCCUCCNCCUGGGNAAUACGGCCGCAAGGUUGAAACUCAAAGGAAUUGACGGGGGCCCGCACAAGCAGUGGAGCAUGUGGUUUAAUUCGACGCAACGCGAAGAACCUUACCUGGGCUCGAAAUGCUACUGCAAAUCUAUGAAAGUAGAGUUCCCGCAAGGGACGGUAGUAUAGGUGCUGCUGGCUGUCGUCAGCUCGUGUCGUGAGAUGUUGGGUUAAGUCCCGCAACGAGCGCAACCCUUACCAUUAGUUGCCAUCAUCAGUUGGGCACUCUAGUGGGACUGCCGAUGAUAAAUCGGAGGAAGGUGGGGAUGACGUCAAGUCAUCAUGGCCCUUACGCCAGGGCUACACACGUGCUACAAUGGCAGGUACAGAGGGCGAAACCGCAAGGUGAAGAUAAUCCCAAAAAACCUGCCUCGUUCGGAUUGAAGGCUGCAACUCGCCUUCAUGAAGCUGGAAUUGCUAGUAAUCGCUGAUCAGCACGCAGCGGUGAAUACUUCCCGGGCCUUGUACACACCGCCCGUCAACCAUGGAAGUGGGUUUCACCAGAAGCCGUUUGCCUAACCGUAAGGGGGGCGGCGACCACGGUGAGAUUCAUGACUGGGGUGAAGUCGUAACAAGGUAACC